UCGAGCGGGAGAGGGGGGGCAACCCCGCUCUCUAGCGGCGAACGGUCGAGACACACGUAAGCAACCUGCCCGGAAGCGGGGGAUAAGCCGGAGAAAUCCGGGGUAAUACCGCAUACCUUCGAGGGGCGAGCGCCUCUCGAAGAAAGGAGUCUCCGCGAGGAGGCUUCACUUUCGGAGGGGCUUGCGGCCUAUCAGCUAGUUGGGGGGGUGACGGCCUCCCAAGGCGACGACGGGUAGCUGGUCUGAGAGGACGGCCAGCCGGACUGGGACUGAGACACGGCCCAGACUCCUACGGGGGGCAGCAAUCAGGAAUCUUGCACAAUGAGCGAAAGCUAGAUGCAGCGAUGCCGCGUGGGUGAGGAAGUCCUUCGGGAUGUAAAGCCCUUUUGGAGGGGACGAUAAUGACGGUACCCUCCGAAGAAGCCCCGGCUAACUACGUGCCAGCAGCCGCGGUAAUACGUAGGGGGCGAGCGUUGUCCGGAAUUACUGGGCGUAAAGGGCGCGUAGGCGGCCCGUCAAGUCCGCUGUGAAAGCCCGAGGCUCAACCUCGGAGGGUCAGCGGAGACGGGCGGGCUGGGGUGUCGGAGAGGAGCAUGGAAUCCCUGGUGUAGCGGUGGAAUGCGUAGAGAUCAGGGGGAACACCGAUGGCGAAGGCAGUGCUCUGGCCGACCACCGACGCUGAGGCGCGAAAGCUGGGGGAGCGAACGGGAUUAGAUACCCCGGUA
This 725-nucleotide ribosomal RNA is filed under the name uncultured bacterium. Its description in RNAcentral is "bacterial SSU rRNA". It matches the Rfam family "Bacterial small subunit ribosomal RNA", at positions 62 to 792 of the family's 1533-position model. The record is from RNAcentral.